Molecule: transfer RNA, 72 nt
Filed under: Candidatus Moraniibacteriota bacterium
Lineage: Bacteria; Candidatus Moraniibacteriota
Description: tRNA-Gln
Rfam family: tRNA
About the family: Transfer RNA (tRNA) molecules are approximately 80 nucleotides in length.
Source: RNAcentral
UGGGCCGUAGCCAAGCGGUAAGGCACUAGGUUUUGGUCCUAGCAUGCGGGGGUUCGAAUCCCUCCGGCCCAA